Molecule: ribosomal RNA, 254 nt
Filed under: uncultured bacterium
Lineage: Bacteria
Description: partial 16S ribosomal RNA
Rfam family: Bacterial small subunit ribosomal RNA
Source: RNAcentral
UACGUAGGGUGCAAGCGUUGUCCGGAAUUAUUGGGCGUAAAGAGCUCGUAGGCGGCUUGUCGCGUCGACUGUGAAAUCCCGCGGCUCAACCGCGGGUCUGCAGUCGAUACGGGCAGGCUAGAGUUCGGUAGGGGGAGACUGGAAUUCCUGGUGUAGCGGUGAAAUGCGCAGAUAUCAGGAGGAACACCGAUGGCGAAGGCAGGUCUCUGGGCCGAUACUGACGCUGAGGAGCGAAAGCGUGGGGAGCAAACAGG